AGCUUUGCACAGUGUGCAGUAUCGUAGCCAAUGAGGUUUAUCCAAGGGGCAAUUAUUGCUAACUGAGAACUUUUCCCAAUACCCCCCCGUGACGUCUUUUAAUAUGGCCAGCACUGGCAAUUUUUGACAGUCUCUACGGAGA
Molecule: small nuclear RNA, 142 nt
Filed under: Leptobrachium leishanense (Leishan spiny toad)
Lineage: Eukaryota; Metazoa; Chordata; Amphibia; Anura; Megophryidae
Description: U4 spliceosomal RNA (ENSLLEG00000003926.1)
Rfam family: U4 spliceosomal RNA
About the family: U4 small nuclear RNA (U4 snRNA) is a component of the major U2-dependent spliceosome. The structure of U4 snRNA from yeast and human has been reported.
Source: Rfam by way of RNAcentral